GUCAGUGUGGUAUAGUGGUAUCAUCAUUGGACUAUGACUCUGGAGACCAGGGUUCAAAUCUCCAUUCAGCCA
Molecule: non-coding RNA, 72 nt
Organism: Phrynosoma platyrhinos (Desert horned lizard)
Lineage: Eukaryota; Metazoa; Chordata; Lepidosauria; Squamata; Phrynosomatidae
Source: the annotation of a GenBank genome assembly